CUGUCUGGCUGCUGGGGCCUGUGUGGCUGUCUACUACCUCUGUCAACACAACCUGCAGCGUGUGGUAACGUCCCCCAGUCCAGAGGAUGUCCUGACAGAGGCCUGGUCUCUGCUGCUGCCUGUAGCAGUGUGUGCCCUCAACACCUUCAUAUCACUACUCUACACACACACACACAGACUGGAGCGCUACGAUAGCCCACGUACACGCGUCUACGUCACGGUGCUCAGGAAUGCGAUGCUGAAGGUGUCUAUCCUAGCAGUGUUGUGUUACUACUGGUUAGCGCUGGUCCCCGGCAACGUCCCGGUAAGAACUACUACACACAUAUUGUCUGAGUCACAUACGGCACCCUAUUCCCUGUGUAGUGCACUACUUUAGACCAGAGCCCUAUUCCCUCUAUAGUGCACUACUUUAGACCAGAGCCCUAUUCCCUGUAUAGUGCACUACUUUAGACCAGAGCCCUAUUCCCUGUAUAGUGCACUACUUUAGAGCAGAGCCCUAUUCCCUAUGUAGUGCACUACUUUAGACCAGAGUCCUAUUCCCUCUAUAGUGCACUACUUUAGACCAGAGCCCUAUUCCCUCUAUAGUGCACUACUUUAGACCAGAGCACUAUUCCCUGUGUAGUGCACUACUUUAGACCAGAGCCCUAUUCCCUAUAUAGUGCACUACUUUAGACCAGAGCCCUAUUCCCUGUAUAGUGCACUACU
Oncorhynchus masou masou (cherry salmon) is the source of this 705-nucleotide long non-coding RNA. RefSeq lists it as uncharacterized. The transcript has 3 exons. The record is from RefSeq and is a predicted model, not a curated record. Lineage: Eukaryota; Metazoa; Chordata; Actinopteri; Salmoniformes; Salmonidae.